RNAcentral lists this unclassified non-coding RNA (259 nucleotides) under Peltaster sp. (in: ascomycete fungi). RNAcentral's name for it is "Peltaster sp. (in: Dothideomycetes) partial contains 5.8S ribosomal RNA, internal transcribed spacer 2, and large subunit ribosomal RNA". Lineage: Eukaryota; Fungi; Ascomycota; Dothideomycetes. The record is from RNAcentral.
CGCACAUUGCGCCCUCUGGUAUUCCGGGGGGCAUGCCUGUUCGAGCGUCAUUACACCACUCAAGCCUAGCUUGGUAUUGGGAGUUUCUUGUGGAUGUAACAAUCUGCACUCCUAGAAUUCUUCCGGCUGGUACUAAUCAAAACCCUUGCGUUGUGGAAACAUUUUUCGCUUGUCUGGUUUCGAUUCGGUAGUCUUUCGCCGUUAAAAUCAUUUUUCUAAGGUUGACCUCGGAUCAGGUAGGGAUACCCGCUGAACUUAA